Molecule: ribosomal RNA, 842 nt
Filed under: uncultured bacterium
Lineage: Bacteria
Description: bacterial SSU rRNA
Rfam family: Bacterial small subunit ribosomal RNA
Source: RNAcentral
GGUGCAAGCGUUAUUCGGAAUCACUGGGCGUAAAGGACACGUAGGCGGGAAGCCAAGUCUGAUGUGAAAUCCUAUGGCUCAACCAUAGAACUGCAUUGGAAACUGGUUACCUAGAGUAUGGGAGGGGGAGAUGGAAUUAGUGGUGUAGGGGUAAAAUCCGUAGAUAUCACUAGGAAUACCUAAAGCGAAGGCGAUCUCCUGGAACAUUACUGACGCUAAGGUGUGAAAGCGUGGGGAGCAAACGGGAUUAGAUACCCCGGUAGUCCACGCCCUAAACGAUGUUCACUAGUCGUCGGGAUGCUAGUCAUCUCGGUGAUGCACUUAACAGAUUAAGUGAACCGCCUGGGGAGUACGGUCGCAAGAUUAAAACUCAAAGGAAUAGACGGGGACCCGCACAAGUGGUGGAGCAUGUGGUUUAAUUCGAAGAUACGCGAAGAACCUUACCAAGCCUUGACAUUGAUUGAACGGACCAGAGAUGGACCGGUGCCCUUCGGGGAACAUGAAAACAGGUGCUACACGGCUGUCGUCAGCUCGUGUCGUGAGAUGUUGGGUUAAGUCCCGCAACGAGCGCAACCCUCGUCAAUAGUUGCCAGCAGGUUAAGCUGGGCACUUUAUUGAGACUGCCUUCGCAAGAAGGAGGAAGGUGAGGACGACGUCAAGUCAUCAUGGCCCUUAUGGCUUGGGCUACACACGUGCUACAAUGGGGCGUACAGAGAGUUGCGAUACCGUGAGGUGGAGCCAAUCUCAUAAAGCGUCUCUCAGUUCGGAUUGAAGUCUGCAACUCGACUUCAUGAAGCUGGAAUCACUAGUAAUCGUAGAUCAGCAAUGCUACGGUGAAUACG